CUUCACUCACAGCUGCAUCAUUGUGAGCAAAUCAUCACAGACGCAAAUCUGUUCAUCGUCUUCCUCACCAUGUCUCGCCGUUUACUGGGAAAUUUCUCGCCGGAAAAUCUUGCUCGAGUCCUCAACUUCUUUCCACACUCAGAACAGUCCUUGAUUCAAGUUCGCGGUGGAAGACCGGGCCCCACCAGAGGACCACCUCCUCAACAUUACUUCACCACCAUGAGAGCUUUGCCGGCAAAGCUUAUGAACAGUGACUCAACAACAAUGGAGGAAUCAAAGCAAACUGCUAAGGGUCAAGUUAACGGUAGCUGAUUCAGCCAAAUGUUGGCUUACUUUUGUACUAACACUGCCUCCCGCCGUUCCUAAAUAUAAGAUCUGCUCAAGAUAGUAAUAAGGAUUAUGUAAUUCUCAAUUUUAUAUUCCAAGAUCGAUAUAUAAAUAAUUGUAAUUACAGUUUUUAUCUGCAA
Molecule: long non-coding RNA, 467 nt
Organism: Neltuma alba
Lineage: Eukaryota; Viridiplantae; Streptophyta; Magnoliopsida; Fabales; Fabaceae
Exons: 2
Source: RefSeq, a predicted model, not a curated record